UACGUAGGGUGCGAGCGUUAAUCGGAAUUACUGGGCGUAAAGCGUGCGCAGGCGGUUAUAUAAGACAGGUGUGAAAUCCCCGGGCUCAACCUGGGAAUUGCAUCUGUGACUGUAUAGCUAGAGUACGGUAGAGGGGGAUGGAAUUCCGCGUGUAGCAGUGAAAUGCGUAGAUAUGCGGAGGAACACCGAUGGCGAAGGCAAUCCCCUGGACCUGUACUGACGCUCAUGCACGAAAGCGUGGGGAGCAAACAGG
Molecule: ribosomal RNA, 253 nt
Filed under: uncultured bacterium
Lineage: Bacteria
Description: partial 16S ribosomal RNA
Rfam family: Bacterial small subunit ribosomal RNA
Source: RNAcentral